This is a long non-coding RNA of Carcharodon carcharias (great white shark), 587 nucleotides long. RefSeq lists it as uncharacterized. NCBI's taxonomy places the organism in Eukaryota, Metazoa, Chordata, Chondrichthyes, Lamniformes, Lamnidae. The record is from RefSeq and is a predicted model, not a curated record. The transcript has 7 exons.
CUUUUGGUCUUUUUGUACUCGUGAUGGGGAUGGUGGAAGAGAUGAAGGGUUUGUGUUGAGUGUAAGCGUAAGGAGGAUGUUGGCAUUGCUGGCAAAGCCCACCUGUAAUUGCCCUUGAACUGAAUGGCUGGCUGGACAAUUUCAGAGGGCACUUGAGUUAACCAUGUUGCUGUGAACCUGGAGUCAUGUAGGCCAGACUGGGCAGAGUCAGUCCUAUGUAAUGGAUUGCCCUCCAGAAGUUUGAACAUUGUUUAGCAAUGGGUGCAGUGCAGUGGUAACAGAUGGAAGUAUGUUCUACCAUGAAUUGAGGUGCAGUGGUAACAGAUGGAAGUAUGUUCUACCAUGGAUUAAGGUGCAGUGGUAACAGAUGGAAGUAUGUUCUACCAUGGAUUAAGGGUGUCAAUGUUCUGAAGACAUAACAACAAAAGAUAUGCAGUUACAAGUUGUUGCCUUGGUCCAUGUUCUUGGAUGGCAGUCUGUUCACAAUUUAAAGUUAAGAGUUAAAAACUUUCCAUUUUAUACCCACCUUUGGUCAGGUUGAACAUUCACUAUUGUAAAUAAAUAAACAUUACAUCUUGCCACUUGAA